UACGGGGGGAGCAAGCGUUGUUCGGAUUUACUGGGCGUAAAGGGCGGGUAGGCGGCCACCGCAAGUCAGUUGUGAAAUCUCCGGGCUUAACCCGGAAAGGUCAACUGAUACUGCGGGGCUAGAGUGCAGAAGGGGCAACUGGAAUUCUCGGUGUAGCGGUGAAAUGCGUAGAUAUCGUAAGGAAGACCAGUGGCGAAGGCGGGUCUCUGGACAGUUCCUGACGCUGAGGCACGAAGGCCAGGGGAGCAAACGGG
This 254-nucleotide ribosomal RNA is filed under the name uncultured bacterium. RNAcentral's name for it is "partial 16S ribosomal RNA". It matches the Rfam family "Bacterial small subunit ribosomal RNA", at positions 524 to 776 of the family's 1533-position model. The record is from RNAcentral.